This 330-nucleotide ribosomal RNA is filed under the name uncultured bacterium. RNAcentral describes it as "bacterial SSU rRNA". It matches the Rfam family "Bacterial small subunit ribosomal RNA", at positions 568 to 898 of the family's 1533-position model. The record is from RNAcentral.
UGUGUAGGCGGUUCUCUAAGUUCCGUGUGAAAUCUCCCGGCUUAACUGGGAGGGUGCGCGGGAAACUGGAGGGCUGGAGUAUGGGAGAGGAAAGCGGAAUUCCUGGUGUAGCGGUGAAAUGCGUAGAUAUCAGGAGGAACACCUGCGGUGUAGACAGCUUUCUGGACCAUCACUGACGCUGAGACACGAAAGCGUGGGUAGCAAACAGGAUUAGACACCCUGGUAGUCCACGCCCUAAACGAUGCAUACUUGGUGUGAGCCGUUCAUUCGGUUCGUGCCGGAGUUAACGCGUUAAGUAUGCCGCCUGGGGAGUACGGUCGCAAGGCUGAA